ACUCCUACGGGAGGCAGCAGUGGGGAAUAUUGCACAAUGGGCGCAAGCCUGAUGCAGCCAUGCCGCGUGUAUGAAGAAGGCCUUCGGGUUGUAAAGUACUUUCAGCGGGGAGGAAGGCGAUAAGGUUAAUAACCUUGUUGAUUGACGUUACCCGCAGAAGAAGCACCGGCUAACUCCGUGCCAGCAGCCGCGGUAAUACGGAGGGUGCAAGCGUUAAUCGGAAUUACUGGGCGUAAAGCGCACGCAGGCGGUCUGUCAAGUCGGAUGUGAAAUCCCCGGGCUCAACCUGGGAACUGCAUUCGAAACUGGCAGGCUAGAGUCUUGUAGAGGGGGGUAGAAUGCCAGGUGUAGCGGUGAAAUGCGUAGAGAUCUGGAGGAAUACCGGUGGCGAAGGCGGCCCCCUGGACAAAGACUGACGCUCAGGUGCGAAAGCGUGGGGAGCAAACAGGAUUAGAAACCCCGGUAGUCCCAUGAU
This 475-nucleotide ribosomal RNA is filed under the name uncultured organism. RNAcentral describes it as "partial 16S ribosomal RNA". It matches the Rfam family "Bacterial small subunit ribosomal RNA", at positions 335 to 801 of the family's 1533-position model. The record is from RNAcentral.